CCUAAAUCCGCCGCAGACGGUCUUCUCCCGGCAAAGGGAGGAGCCAAGAGGGAAUGCGGUGCGGGAGAGAACAAAUCCCAAAUCCGCGGCUGUCCCCGCAACUGUGAGCGACGAGCCUCAGCCGAAAACCACUGGGAUGAUCCCGGGAAGGCGGCAUACAGGGCGAUGACGCGCGAGCCAGGAGACCUGCCGUCUGAGACUUUAAGUA
This 208-nucleotide non-coding RNA is filed under the name Mesorhizobium sp. Lineage: Bacteria; Pseudomonadati; Pseudomonadota; Alphaproteobacteria; Hyphomicrobiales; Phyllobacteriaceae. The record is from RNAcentral.